UACGUAGGGGGCUAGCGUUGUCCGGAUUUAUUGGGCGUAAAGAGCGUGUAGGCGGCCAGGUAGGUCUGCUGUGAAAACUCGAGGCUCAACCUCGAGACGUCGGCGGAAACCAUCUGGCUAGAGUCCGGAAGAGGAGAGUGGAAUUCCUGGUGUAGCGGUGAAAUGCGUAGAUAUCGGGAGGAACACCUGUGGCGAAGGCGGCCCCCUGGUUGGAUACUGACGCUGAUACGCGAAAGCGUGGGGAGCAAACAGG
RNAcentral lists this ribosomal RNA (253 nucleotides) under uncultured bacterium. RNAcentral describes it as "partial 16S ribosomal RNA". It matches the Rfam family "Bacterial small subunit ribosomal RNA", at positions 524 to 776 of the family's 1533-position model. The record is from RNAcentral.